UGGGGAAUUUUGGACAAUGGGGGCAACCCUGAUCCAGCCAUGCCGCGUGCGGGAAGAAGGCCUUCGGGUUGUAAACCGCUUUUAGCCGGAAAGAAAAGGCGCCCCCCAAUACGGGGCGUUCUUGACGGUACCGGCGGAAUAAGCACCGGCUAACUACGUGCCAGCAGCCGCGGUAAUACGUAGGGUGCGAGCGUUAAUCGGAAUUACUGGGCGUAAAGCGUGCGCAGGCGGUUCGUUGUGUCUGAUGUGAAAGCCCCGGGCUCAACCUGGGAACUGCAUUGGAAACUGGCGGACUUGAGUGUGGCAGAGGGGGGUGGAAUUCCGCGUGUAGCAGUGAAAUGCGUAGAGAUGCGGAGGAACACCGAUGGCGAAGGCAGCCCCCUGGGCCAACACUGACGCUCAGGCACGAAAGCGUGGGGAGCAA
This 424-nucleotide ribosomal RNA is filed under the name uncultured bacterium. Its description in RNAcentral is "bacterial SSU rRNA". It matches the Rfam family "Bacterial small subunit ribosomal RNA", at positions 355 to 771 of the family's 1533-position model. The record is from RNAcentral.